RNAcentral lists this ribosomal RNA (383 nucleotides) under Agathobacter rectalis. Its description in RNAcentral is "partial 23S ribosomal RNA". It matches the Rfam family "Bacterial large subunit ribosomal RNA", at positions 1 to 389 of the family's 2925-position model. Lineage: Bacteria; Bacillati; Bacillota; Clostridia; Lachnospirales; Lachnospiraceae. The record is from RNAcentral.
GAUUAAGCAAAAAAGAGCGCAGGGUGGAUGCCUUGGCACUAAGAGCCGAAGAAAGACGUGAUAAGCUGCGAAAAGCUGCGGGGAGAUGCAAAUAAUCCUUGAUCCGCAGAUGUCUGAAUGGGGAAACCCGGUACGAAGAACUCGUAUCAUCCAUACGCCAAUCCAUAACGUAUGGAGGGGAACCCGGUGAACUGAAACAUCUAAGUAGCCGGAGGAAGAGAAAGAAACAUCGAUUUUGUUAGUAGCGGCGAGCGAAAGCGAAAGAGGCCAAACCGGAGUGCGUGCACUCCGGGGUUCGGACCGCAUUUAAGAUUCAGUGAUUCUAGCAGAAAGGUUUGGGAAAGCCUGCCGGAGAGGGUGAAAGCCCCGUAAGCGAAAGGAGA